GUAUUAAUUAACUUUAAAACAUUAAUAUGUAGUUGUUACCUUCCACUCCACAAACUGCAGCGACUAAAAACCAGGCCUUGUCCUUUCUGAUGUUGUCCUUGUAGUAAGCAUUGGUUACAUCAUAUAAAAUAGUGUGUUUUUCCACUUCCAUGAUGAAAACCUCGUCGUCCAUUGUGCGUAUCGUAGUGGAGGUGUUGUGAUGAAGGAGGGGUAUAGCUUUAAAUAA
This is a long non-coding RNA of Notothenia coriiceps (black rockcod), 226 nucleotides long. RefSeq lists it as uncharacterized. The transcript is spliced from 3 exons. NCBI's taxonomy places the organism in Eukaryota, Metazoa, Chordata, Actinopteri, Perciformes, Nototheniidae. The record is from RefSeq and is a predicted model, not a curated record.